This 253-nucleotide ribosomal RNA is filed under the name uncultured bacterium. Its description in RNAcentral is "partial 16S ribosomal RNA". It matches the Rfam family "Bacterial small subunit ribosomal RNA", at positions 524 to 776 of the family's 1533-position model. The record is from RNAcentral.
UACGUAGGGUGCGAGCGUUAAUCGGAAUUACUGGGCGUAAAGCGUGCGCAGGCGGUUGUGCAAGACAGAGGUGAAAUCCCCGGGCUUAACCUGGGAACUGCCUUUGUGACUGCACGGCUGGAGUGUGUCAGAGGGGGGUAGAAUUCCACGUGUAGCAGUGAAAUGCGUAGAUAUGUGGAGGAAUACCGAUGGCGAAGGCAGCCCCCUGGGAUAACACUGACGCUCAUGCACGAAAGCGUGGGGAGCAAACAGG